This 99-nucleotide non-coding RNA is filed under the name Ligilactobacillus animalis. Its description in RNAcentral is "Lactobacillus animalis Guanine sequence". It matches the Rfam family "Purine riboswitch aptamer". From Rfam's summary of the family: Riboswitches are metabolite binding domains within certain messenger RNAs that serve as precision sensors for their corresponding targets. Allosteric rearrangement of mRNA structure is mediated by ligand binding, and this results in modulation of gene expression. The record is from RNAcentral. Lineage: Bacteria; Bacillati; Bacillota; Bacilli; Lactobacillales; Lactobacillaceae.
CUAUUCUAGCUACAGGUUACUUAUAUAAUGCCAUAAUCUGGUUGGCGAGUUUCUACCCAAGACCGUAAAUCUUGGACUAUGAGUAAAAAAACGUUAGGA